UUCUAUUUUCUUCCUGCUGGAGAGGAAGUGCUGCAGUUUUUUCACUAGAAGAUGUGCCAUUCGACCAGUCGUUAAGAAAACGCAAUUUUCUCAUGGCCUAUUGAGAGGAGAAAAUAAGGCAAAACUCAACGUGCCAUGAAAAAUCCUUUACUUUUUGUUUUU
Molecule: long non-coding RNA, 162 nt
Organism: Bradysia coprophila
Lineage: Eukaryota; Metazoa; Arthropoda; Insecta; Diptera; Sciaridae
Source: RefSeq, a predicted model, not a curated record